UUGACGGUACCCUACUAGAAAGGAGCCGCUAACUUCGUGCCAGAAGCGUCGGUAAUACGGGGGCUCCAAGCGUUAUCCGGUGUUAUUGGGCGUAAAGAGUCGUGUAGUGGUUGGGUAAGUUAUCUUUCAAUAUCUUUGCUUAACAAGAGGAGGGGAUAUACUGCUCGACUAGAAUUUCUCAGGAGAUCGGACUGAGGGAGGAGUAGUGAAAUGCGUUGAUACCCUCGGGAACACCAGUGGCGUAGGCGGAUCUCUGGGAGAAGAUUGACACUGAGACACGAAAGCUAGGGGAGCGAAGCAGAUUAGAGACCUGCGUAGUCCUAGCCGUAAACGCAUGCUUGCUAGCUGCAUGAAUCUACCUUCGGGUGGUAUCGUGUGGCGAAGGUAACCCGUUAAGCAGGCCGCCUGGAAAGUACGGCCGCAAGGCUGAAAUUCAAAGGAAUUGGCGGGGAGGCACACAACCAGUGGAACAUGUGGUUUAAUUCGAGACUAACCGAAGAACCUCACCAGGGUUUGACAUGUAGCUGCACGUCUUAAGAAAUUAAGACUCUCUUGAAGGUGCUACACAGGUGCUGCAUGGCUGUCGUCAGCUCGUUCCGUGAGGAGUGCCCUUAAGUGGGACAACGAGCGCAACCCCUAUUACAUGUUAGAAAUGUCAUGUAAGACUGCCUUGCCAUUUGGCGGGGAGGAAGGAGGGGCAGACGUCAAGUCCGCAUGGUCCUUAUGCCCUGGGCUACACACAUGUUACAAUGAGUACGGCAAUGAGUCUGUCGCGAGCACGUAAGUGUAAGCUAAUCUCUUAAAUGUACUCUCAGUGGGGAUUGAGGUCUGCAACUCGACCUCAUGAACACGGAAUUGGUAGUAAUCGCGGGUCAGCUAUACCGCGGUGAAUACGUUCUUGCCUCUUGCACACACCGCCCGUCAAACCAGCAAAGU
This 936-nucleotide ribosomal RNA is filed under the name uncultured organism. Its description in RNAcentral is "bacterial SSU rRNA". It matches the Rfam family "Bacterial small subunit ribosomal RNA", at positions 469 to 1411 of the family's 1533-position model. The record is from RNAcentral.